UCCCUCCCUUACCACCUUUGCUCUUUGAACGUCUCAAUUUGCCAGUCCCCACUCCCACUUUGCCCCAUCUUGCUCCAAGGCUGGCAAACUUUGCUGGAGAAAACCACAAAAGUACUGAUGGAGCUGUCUGCCACUUGUGUCUGUCUUGGCCUGGACCUCAGUGGCAUUAGUCAUCUGUAUGAGAAAAUGUUUGCUGACCCCUGACCUAGAAGCUGUGAGGGCUGGUGGAGGAAAUCUUGUGAAGGGCAAGUAUCAUUUUGUAAAGCUCUGCCUCAGAGUGAAGAACAAUUCCUGGAGUGACCCUGACACCAGUGGGAAGCAAACAGGAAGAAGCAAAUCCCUUCUUCCUCCUCCAGCCUCCAGUGUCCCUCCAGCAUCCUCAGGGCCUCCUAGAGCCUAACAGGGAGCAGCUGCAGAGUGGAAAUAUGUGGUGUUCAGAGUCUUAGCUCCAACACCACAUAGUAGGGGUUACCAGGCUGAGCUGCAGUUGCUUAAUCAGCAGCACACGUCCCAGUUAUUCACAGGAGAAGAGAGUCUUCAUAACUGUGAUGCUAAAGCAUGCCAGGAGGAUAUUAUCACCCACUCACCACUAAGAACCAGCUCCUUGUUGCCACCUGAGCAGGAAAUGAUCCAAGACUGAGGAUCUGCUGCCUGGACCCCUUCUAAUACCAACUGUCUUAGUGUGGGUUCCCAGAAGCCAACCCUGAGGCAAGGAUUUGAGUGAAGUGGUUUAUUUGGGAGGUAGAGGGACAAAUAAAGCAUGUGUUGCCAGCCAGCUACCACCAUGGGUGACUGCAGGGAAGCUCUCACCUCCAGCACAGCAGCAAGUACCUCACAGGCUUUCGAGCUUGGUGAGGUAGUCCCAGGCAGAUCGCAGGGAGACAG
This 885-nucleotide long non-coding RNA is filed under the name Equus caballus (horse). Its description in RNAcentral is "lncRNA (ENSECAG00000040975.2)". Lineage: Eukaryota; Metazoa; Chordata; Mammalia; Perissodactyla; Equidae. The record is from RNAcentral.